CGGGAUCUGCUCGGUCCGUACACAUGGGCGCAAGACUCCGGUGGCCUUACGCAACCGUACGGGAGCUGGCUCUGUUAGGACCCUGGUUCUAUUACCUGGCACCCACCUGAUAUAAUCAGGCUUCGGGAGCAUACGCGCUGCUACGGCUGCUGCGGUCCCCCG
This 162-nucleotide unclassified non-coding RNA is filed under the name Pacificibacter marinus. Its description in RNAcentral is "6S / SsrS RNA". Lineage: Bacteria; Pseudomonadati; Pseudomonadota; Alphaproteobacteria; Rhodobacterales; Roseobacteraceae. The record is from RNAcentral.